CUGGCGGCAGGCUUAACACAUGCAAGUCGAGCGGAGCGAGGGUGCUUGCACCUUAGCUUAGCGGCGGACGGGUGAGUAAUGCUUAGGAAUCUGCCUAUUAGUGGGGGACAACGUUGGAAAGAACGCUAAUACCGCAUACGUCCUACGGGAGAAAGCAGGGGAUCUUCGGACCUUGCGCUAAUAGAUGAGCCUAAGUCGGAUUAGCUAGUUGGUGGGGUAAAGGCCUACCAAGGCGACGAUCUGUAGCGGGUCUGAGAGGAUGAUCCGCCACACUGGGACUGAGACACGGCCCAGACUCCUACGGGAGGCAGCAGUGGGGAAUAUUGGACAAUGGGGGGAACCCUGAUCCAGCCAUGCCGCGUGUGUGAAGAAGGCCUUUUGGUUGUAAAGCACUUUAAGCGAGGAGGAGGCUUACCUAGU
RNAcentral lists this ribosomal RNA (420 nucleotides) under Acinetobacter brisouii. RNAcentral describes it as "bacterial SSU rRNA". It matches the Rfam family "Bacterial small subunit ribosomal RNA", at positions 36 to 460 of the family's 1533-position model. The record is from RNAcentral. Lineage: Bacteria; Pseudomonadati; Pseudomonadota; Gammaproteobacteria; Moraxellales; Moraxellaceae.